ACAUGUCCUGUAGUGGGGGAUAGCCCGGCGAAAGCCGGAUUAAUACCGCAUACGAUCUACGGAUGAAAGCGGGGGACCUUCGGGCCUCGCGCUAUAGGGUUGGCCGAUGGCUGAUUAGCUAGUUGGUGGGGUAAAGGCCUACCAAGGCGACGAUCAGUAGCUGGUCUGAGAGGACGACCAGCCACACUGGGACUGAGACACGGCCCAGACUCCUACGGGAGGCAGCAGUGGGGAAUUUUGGACAAUGGGCGAAAGCCUGAUCCAGCAAUGCCGCGUGUGUGAAGAAGGCCUUCGGGUUGUAAAGCACUUUUGUCCGGAAAGAAAUCCUUGGCUCUAAUACAGUCGGGGGAUGACGGUACCGGAAGAAUAAGCACCGGCUAACUACGUGCCAGCAGCCGCGGUAAUACGUAGGGUGCGAGCGUUAAUCGGAAUUACUGGGCGUAAAGCGUGCGCAGGCGGUUUGCUAAGACCGAUGUGAAAUCCCCGGGCUCAACCUGGGAAACUGCAUUGGUGACUGGCAGGCUAGAGUAUGGCAGAAGGGGGUAGAA
Molecule: ribosomal RNA, 548 nt
Filed under: Burkholderia sp.
Lineage: Bacteria; Pseudomonadati; Pseudomonadota; Betaproteobacteria; Burkholderiales; Burkholderiaceae
Description: bacterial SSU rRNA
Rfam family: Bacterial small subunit ribosomal RNA
Source: RNAcentral